This 374-nucleotide ribosomal RNA is filed under the name uncultured organism. RNAcentral describes it as "partial 16S ribosomal RNA". It matches the Rfam family "Bacterial small subunit ribosomal RNA", at positions 527 to 896 of the family's 1533-position model. The record is from RNAcentral.
GUAGGUGGCAAGCGUUGUCCGGAAUUAUUGGGCGUAAAGCGCGCGCAGGUGGUUCUUUAAGUCUGAUGUGAAAGCCCCCGGCUCAACCGGGGAGGGUCAUUGGAAACUGGGGAACUUGAGUGCAGGAGAGGAAAGUGGAAUUCCACGUGUAGCGGUGAAAUGCGUAGAUAUGUGGAGGAACACCAGUGGUGAAGGCGACUUUCUGGCCUGUAACUGACACUGAGGCGCGAAAGCGUGGGGAGCAAACAGGGAUUAGAUACCCUGGUAGUCCACGCCGUAAACGAUGAGUGCUAAGUGUUGGGGGGGUUUCCCGCCCCUCAGUGCUGCAGCUAACGCAUUAAGCACUCCGCCUGGGGAGUACGGUCGCAAGACUG